UGAUUUCUACGGAGAAAGAAGGGGAGAAAUCAGCCACAGAGGAACCUGCAGCAUGGAUGAGGAAAGGGGGGAUGACAACCAAGAGUGUGGACUCUACAGUUCUCCUCUCUGGGCAGGGUGGCUUUGGGAUGGUGUGGCUGUAGAUCACCUAGCCUCUACAGUCAGUCAAAUGGCUUCAGUUGGGGACGAUGGGCUGUGUGUUUCUUGCACGAAUGGUUUGUUCAAGGCUGAAAAACACUCAUCUCUUUUUUGUUGUUGUUGUUGUUUUUGAGAAAGGGUUUCUCUGUGGCUUUGGAGACUGUCCUGGAACUCGCUCAGUAGACCAGGCUGGCCUCGAACUCACAGAGAUCCACCUGCCUCUGCCUCCCGAGGGCUGGAAUUAAAGGCGUGCGCCACCAACGCCUGGCUAACACUCAUCUCUUUCUGAGCCUUUUGUUGGUGCUCUACUCAGAGCCGUUGUACCCCCAGGCUGACCUUGAACUCUCCAUCCUUGUGCCUCAGUCUCCCAAAACCCAGAAUUACAGGUGUGCGCCACCAUAUCCAGUUGACAGAGCUUUGUUAUUUUAUUUAUUUAUUUGUUUAUUUAUUUAUUUAUGUUUAGUUUUUGAAACAGGGUCUCAUGGAGUCCAAGACUGCUUUGAACUCCCAAUUCUCUUGCCUCCUCCCCCACGUUCUGGGGCUACACACACAUACCCUUAUGUCUGGCCUGAUAUUUUUGACUGAAGCAAAACUGAGCUCCAGCCUCAAGUCCUGGGCUACAGUUGACACAGCAAGCUCAGGACCCUGUAAGUGUUCCUUAGGAAAACUGUGCCGGCUGAACACACGCAACCUUCCGGUCUAGAAUCAGGAAUCUGAUAGACAUCCCCUGUCCCAUCUUCACGAGCUCUACCUCCUGACUACAUAGCUUCCUCUGAGUCCUCCUCAGUGACUUCUUAUAACCACCGCUUAGAUUUGGGAAGUCCCCUGCCAAGGCUGCUGCUGACAUCAUGUGCAGUGGCAGGCCCAGAAUCGGGCACUUUGUAUCAUCUCUAUUCUACUCUCAGGAAAACACCCAUCAGAAUUUCUGUGUCCAUCCUGUUUAUAAGUCCAGUGGCCUGAAAAGCUGAUGCAGAUGAGAAGGAUGCAGGAAGGAAACCUCAUGCCUGUCAAGCAUGGUGUUCAGGACACUUGACACACACACAAUCAGUUCGUCCUAUUGACUUUGUGUCGGAAGAUACUACUGCCAUCCUCAUUUUACAGGUAAAGGAAGCAGAAGAGCUGAUUGUAAUGACAAGAACUGACCAAGCAGUGACAGUCUUCAUAGCACCGGCCAGCACUUCCAGCAUGCCAGACCCUUGAUGUGGCCUGCCUUAUACAAUUCCCCAGCAGCCUGGCAGAGAGGGGCAUGUUCCAAACAAGAACCAAUACCUGCUUACCCAGGUUACAUUGCUCUGAAAACACAGGCUAGAGCCUGACCCCCAAGCUCCAGUGUGAACUCACACACCUCCGGCUCUCUAGAGAGAAGGCAGAGAGAUGGCGGCUCUUACAAAGCUGGGAAAAGGGCUAGAUCAGCAUACAGAUGGCAGGAAGGGGAGAGGUGGGACCUGUUGUGGAGGUGUUGAUGUUAUCUCUGGGGAAAGGCUGACCAUUCCACUGUUCAAAUGAUACUGUUCUUACAUGUGGAAAAUUCUGGUUUUGGAGGCCAUGGCUGCACAAAGACAGCGGAAAAGUAGGGUUGGUGUGAAAGAUUGGGAAGUCGGGGUUAUAUCAACUCCCUCCAUAUAAAGGAGGGUGCGCAAUAGCCACUCUGUCCCAGCCUACUCCAACCUAUACUCCUUAGUCCUUCAGCCAAACCGUAUUUCCAUCCUGUCCAAACUGCCGCACUCCAUGCUGCCCCCACCAGCUCCCGGGGAAACAGUGGGGUGGGGCAGAGGCCUGGAUGACAACUCCAAAGCAGCUGCCAUGACUACCCUGUCUCCAGAAGCCAGUGGAAGGAGUGGCUCACGACAGUGCUGCUGGCCAGGAGGAAGCCGGGCGAUCUCUCCAGCCUGCGGGCACUUGUUCAAAGGUUUGCUCCUAGACACCCUGGAGGGGCCUGAAGUGGACAAGGAGGGCUAAAUUACUCAGGGUGGCAGAAGUGUGGACCGUCUGAGGAUAAACAGCUGCACAUUGGGGGGGGGGCUGUGAAUGGGGCUGAAGCCCCCCAUGGUCCCUUCCUAUGUGUGGCACUCACCAGUUUGGUUACAGAUCUCCUAGAAGAUGCUCGGCAGGGGUAGGAAUAAUGCCCACCAAUGAACAAAACAAAAAACAGCAGCUGACCAGAGGAAAACGGGCUGCUCCCUACCCCGGGCCUGCUUAGAGGGACGGUGACCCUCACCAGUCCCAGUCACGCUGCACCAAUGUAACAAAAUGACAGACCAGCAUUUUCUUCCCAGAGACCUGGAGACUGAGAGCUGGAGACAAGUGUCUGCUUAGUUGGGUUCUGGUGAGAACUUGCUUCCUGGCUUGUCCAAAGGCCAUAUUCUAGCUAGGGCUCAUGGGCAGCGGUGUACUUGGAGAAGUUCACUUUUCCUCCCCUAAUAAGACCACCGACCAACCGCACAGUGUUAGGGCCCCACCCAGAUAACCUCAUUUAACCUCCAUUACCUCCUAAAUGCUGUGUCUCCAAAUACAGUCACCUUGGGAGUUGGGAUCAGAUAAACUCGUGUAGAGGGACGCACAUCAGUCCCCGGCAACCCUCUCUGACCUCAGCUUUGUCCCUCCACAGUAACUUCAUUAACUCCAUCACGAGGCAGGGUUUCACCUGCUCUCCCUUGUCCCAGCUGUCUGCCCCAGAUGGCAAUAAUCUAUCUGCUUGCUUUCAGAGUCCUCCACUAUUUACCAGAGGCUGCUUGUUACCUUGCAGGGAGGCAAGAGGGGUACUGAUAUGUCAUGUCAUGCCAGUGAGCUGUGCAUUACCUCAGAGUUCAGUGGCUUACCACACAGAGCCGAGUGGGGGCCAUUCACAGGAAAAUGGAUACAACUGGAGAUAAUGAUAAUAAUUAAGCAAAUUAAGUUUCAGAAA
Long non-coding RNA from Mesocricetus auratus (golden hamster), 3043 nucleotides. RefSeq lists it as uncharacterized. The record is from RefSeq and is a predicted model, not a curated record. The transcript is spliced from 2 exons. Lineage: Eukaryota; Metazoa; Chordata; Mammalia; Rodentia; Cricetidae.